This 286-nucleotide unclassified non-coding RNA is filed under the name Hevea brasiliensis (rubber tree). Lineage: Eukaryota; Viridiplantae; Streptophyta; Magnoliopsida; Malpighiales; Euphorbiaceae. The record is from RNAcentral.
UUCUUUUUUAGUCCUUUUUUGCAGGGGAAACUGAGACGCAAGUGUGAGUUUUGUCAUUUUGAUUCUUUGGCAAGUAGUUAUAUGUGUAGUCUGCAGAGUUUGGCUUGCCACACAAAAGAGUAAUUGGGACGAAAAAACUUACCCGCAACUAUUGUAACUAUAUUAUUUUAUCAUGGUUAAGUGAUAAAUAGAGACGACAAUAUACGUCAUUUAACCAUGAUUAGUGAUAAGUACACAUACAUGAAAGAGACAUGUCAUGUGUUUAUUCAUUUUAUGAAAACAUUCG